Non-coding RNA from Pseudomonas fluorescens ABAC62, 89 nucleotides. The record is from Rfam. Lineage: Bacteria; Pseudomonadati; Pseudomonadota; Gammaproteobacteria; Pseudomonadales; Pseudomonadaceae.
UUUUAUGGUGGCUGUGCGCAGGGCGCCUUCGGGUGCGCCGGGUUUUCCUGAUUAGCCGGUCGACUAACCUGCGUACAGCCACCACCCAC